Molecule: non-coding RNA, 734 nt
Filed under: Myrmecophilus manni (Mann's ant cricket)
Lineage: Eukaryota; Metazoa; Arthropoda; Insecta; Orthoptera; Myrmecophilidae
Source: RNAcentral
UUAAAGUUUUAUUCUCGCUUAAGGAAUUGUUAUAGUAAUGAUUUAUAUGUAGAUUGUUAACAUUUUAAAAGUUAUGUAAGCAGUAUUUAGUAUUGGACAAUUAAGGUGAUUUAGAUCCAGUAAUUAUUAUAGUGCCGGUUAAAUUCGUGCCAGCUGCCGCGGUUAGACGAUGGGCUAGAACAAUUCGGUUUUAAUUGAAGUUAGUUUAAUUGUUUAAUUUUUUGUUAGUUAUUUAGGAUGAAAUCUGAUUGCUGGUAAUGUUAAGGUUACGAGACUUGGAAAGCUUAGUAUGAGACUAGGAUUAGAUACCCUAUUAUUUAAGUUGUAAAUGAUGAUUUGGAUAUUAAAAGGUAUGGUCUUUAAAUUCAAAGAAUUUGGCGGUAAUUUAAUCUAUUUAGAGGAAUCUGUUCCAUAAUCGAUAAUACACGAGAGGUGCUACUUAAGAUAUUAGUUUAUAUACCGUCGUCAUCAGAUUAUUUUUAAUGGAAAUUUUCUUAUUUUAUUAUUAUAGUUUAUGUCAGAUCAAGGUGUAGUUUAUGCUUAAGAGGAAAUGGAUUACAAUAGGAUUACUUAUACGGAUUAUAUCUUAAAUUGUAAUAGGAAGGUGGAUUUAAUAGUAAAUUAAUAGGAAGUUGAUGUUAGUUCUAAAUUGUGCACAUAUCGCCCGUCGCUCUCGUAGUUCAAUGAGAUAAGUCGUAACAUAGUAGAUGUACUGGAAAGUGUAUCUGGAAUUU